RNAcentral lists this ribosomal RNA (456 nucleotides) under uncultured bacterium. RNAcentral's name for it is "bacterial SSU rRNA". It matches the Rfam family "Bacterial small subunit ribosomal RNA", at positions 340 to 786 of the family's 1533-position model. The record is from RNAcentral.
UACGGAAGGCAGCAGUGGGGAAUAUUGGACAAUGGGCGAAAGCCUGAUCCAGCCAUGCCGCGUGUGUGAAGAAGGUCUUCGGAUUGUAAAGCACUUUAAGUUGGGAGGAAGGGCAGUAAAUUAAUACUUUGCUGUUUUGACGUUACCGACAGAAUAAGCACCGGCUAACUCUGUGCCAGCAGCCGCGGUAAUACAGAGGGUGCAAGCGUUAAUCGGAAUUACUGGGCGUAAAGCGCGCGUAGGUGGUUCGUUAAGUUGGAUGUGAAAUCCCCGGGCUCAACCUGGGAACUGCAUUCAAAACUGACGAGCUAGAGUAUGGUAGAGGGUGGUGGAAUUUUCCUGUGUAGCGGUGAAAUGCGUAGAUAUAGGAAGGAACACCAGUGGCGAAGGCGACCACCUGGGACUGAUACUGACACUGAGGUGCGAAAGCGUGGGGAGCAAACAGGAUUAGAUACC